This 431-nucleotide ribosomal RNA is filed under the name uncultured bacterium. RNAcentral describes it as "bacterial SSU rRNA". It matches the Rfam family "Bacterial small subunit ribosomal RNA", at positions 400 to 830 of the family's 1533-position model. The record is from RNAcentral.
CGUGCAGGAUGAAGGCUUCGGGUUGUAACUGCUUUUGUACGGAACGAAAAGGUCCUUUCUAAUAAAGAGGGCUCAUGACGGUACCGUAAGAAUAAGCACCGGCUAACUACGUGCCAGCAGCCGCGGUAAUACGUAGGGUGCGAGCGUUAAUCGGAAUUACUGGGCGUAAAGCGUGCGCAGGCGGUUAUAUAAGACAGAUGUGAAAUCCCCGGGCUCAACCUGGAACUGCAUUAGUGACUGUAUAGCUGGAGUGCGGCAGAGGGGGAUGGAAUUCCGCGUGUAGCAGUGAAAUGCGUAGAUAUGCGGAGGAACACCGAUGGCGAAGCAAUCCCCUGGGCCUGCACUGACGCUCAUGCACGAAAACGUGGGGAGCAACAGGAUUAGAUACCCUGGUAGUCCCGCCCUAAACGAUGUCACUGGUUGUUGGGAAU